Molecule: non-coding RNA, 3191 nt
Organism: Oryctolagus cuniculus (rabbit)
Lineage: Eukaryota; Metazoa; Chordata; Mammalia; Lagomorpha; Leporidae
Source: RefSeq, a predicted model, not a curated record
UUACACCGUGGACAUUCAUGGACAUACCUUGUUUUCCUUACUUGAUAAUGGAAUCUAUAGAGAAGAAUGCAUGUUAAAAUUUCUAUGUAUUAGGAAACAAGUUCUGGUAUAGGAUAGAUGCUCAGUAAAUGAAAAAUGCUGUUACACAUAUACUGUAAAUAUAGCAAAUAAUGCCAUUCGAACUUAGACAUGACAGAUGGAGAAGAACACAGGUAGACAAGACCUGAUUGCAACUGAAAUUGCCAAAAAGUAGAGUUCAGCAAUUUUUUAAAAAUUUAUUUAUUUUCAUUUUGUUUGAAAGUCAGGGAGAAGGAGCCAGAGACAUAGAGGCAGACAGAGAGAUCUUCCUUCCACUGGUCCAUUUCCCAAAUGCCUCCAAGAUCUGGGUCUGGGCCAGGCCAAAGCCAGGAUCUUCAAACUCAAUCCAGGUCACCCACGUGGACAGUAUGAAUCCAAGUACUGGCGCCAUCACCACUGCCUCCCGGGAUGCAUAUUAGCAGGGAAUUGGAUCAGAAGUGGAAGAGCAAAGACAUUGACGAGAACAAAGAAUGAACUUUGUCAUGGGACCUGUCAGGGAAGUCGUUGAGUUUUACCAUACUCCCCCAGCUGAUCACAGACAAGCAGUCACCAUACGCUGGCCACCUGGUCACUUACUUCAGUAUUGGUGCCAGAGCUUGUCUUUCACCCAACUGGAUUCAUAAAGUCAUCUUGCAUUAGAGGAAGCUGGAAACUUGCUCAAUGCAAGUAUCAACACACAUUCAAGAGUGCUGUCAUUAACAGCUCUCCUUGGAGUAAAUGCUGACGAUAUCAACUUUGAAUUUGUAUUGGAUGCAAAAUUUAAGGUGUGUUUAUUUUAUUGUUUACUUCACCUAUUGUCAAACAGGAUUUGAAAUGGGGAUGUAUGAUAUACAUUCUUAAACACCAGAAAUACCAGAGAAAGUUAACUAUGCUCUGCUGACAUUUUACUUUAAUUCCCUUCUCUUGUGUUCUAACAAAAGCUUUCUGGGCGUAAGAACAGAUUCUACACUCUGUAGAAAUAGAAUUAGUCUUCUGAAAUGCCUCCUCUGGUGACUGCUUCUCUCUCCUUGAGGGAGUCUCUGUUGGCUGACUCAGUCACAUCAAAAUCAUUGUGCUUUUUAAUACCGCGGGAGAUGCCCUCUUAAAAAUCCUUCUGCAGUUCCCUGAGGGGGCCCAUAAUUUCCCAGGGCGACUCCCGGUGAAGAGGGAGUUGACAGCCCAGGAGAAGCCGGCUUGUUUACCCGGGCAGUGAUCGCAUCUUUGUGCCCUUGUUCAAAUAAUAAGGAGAUAACUUCUUUCAAAAUGGAAAGAAAUGGCUGUGAUUUGCUGAUCCACUCCCUACAUGGCUACCAUGACAGGAGUUUGGACUGGCCAAAGUCAGGAACCAGAAACUCUAGCCUGGUCUUCCAGUUGGGUAGCAGGGUCCAAGCGCUUGGGUCAUCUUCCACUACUUUUCCAGGAGCAUUACCAGGUAGCAGAAUCCAAAGUAGAACAUUCAGAACUCAAACUGGCACUCUGACAGGGGAUGCUAGUGUCACAGGUGAACACUUUACACUGUGCACCACAGUGCUGGCCCCAACACUACAUGUCUUCCAGAAAGAUGGGUAGAGAUUCAGAACUAAUCUGCUGUUGCAAAUAAAGAAAGAAAUAUAGACAAUAUAUGUAACUUAGGUAUAAAUUUAAGGAGAACUUCGCAGUCAUCUUGUAUCCUUGAAUCAUCUCAGAUGAGGGAUAGUGGUGCAUCCCUUCUGCCCUUGGUGUGCCUCUGGGAAUGAUGCUGGGCCAGGUUUUAGUUCACAGAAUGUGUUUGAAAGGGAUUUGUAGAAAGCUUUAGGUAGAUUUUUUUGGUUGUAAGAAAAAUAAACAUGCAUGCUAAUUCUUUAAAAAGGAGGUCCAUCAAAGGUAGAAGUGAACUGAGACAAUGCAAGUCAUAAUAAAAGUCUCUGAAUUUCUUUCAUAGGCCACAUACCCAUUCUUUCAAGGCUUUUCCUGUUCGCUCUGUCAUCAGCUCCAUUUUUCCUCCCAUCCGACAAGCUAGCUAAGGUUAUUUUCAGUGUUUGCUCUUAUAACUUUGAUUUGGGGCUUAAUCUCCCAGCUCCAACUUUCUCUAGCAACUGAACUUACUGUCAGUUCCCCUUCUAGGAGUUGGGACACUGCUGGCUCAGUGCAUGUUUUUAAGGGAGGCUCCAAAUUGCAAGUAGCCAUGCGAGUCCUGGUGAGAGAAACCUUGUCGACCUAUAGUCUGAUUACCUGCUCUGUAUGCAGAUUGUGAGUGGUGCAGCUUCAUGUACAAGGGACCGUGGGUCACUGGAUGACAAAUACAGUACAAAGUGCUAGUCAUUGUGAAUGUCAAAUAAUACGGGAUGCUUCCAUUUACAAAUUAUGGUUGCAUGGUGGGUGUUUGGCAUAGCAGUGACAAUGCUGCUUUGUGCCACACACCCCAAGCUGGAGCACCUAGGUUUGAGUCCUGGCUCUGCUUCUGAUUCUAGCUUCCUGCUAGCACACACUCUGGGAGAUGGCAAGUGGUGGCUUGAGAUGUUGGGUUCCUGCCACCCGCAUGGGAGACCAGGAUUGAGUUCUUCACUCUAAACUUCAGCCUGGCCUGGCACUAGCUAGUGCAAGCAUUUGGGGAGUGAACCAGCAUAUGGGAGCUCUCUGCCUUUGAUCUCUCUCUCUCUCUCUCUCUGGUCUAUCUUUCAAAUAAAUAAAAUGAAAUAAAUAAAAGUUACGAUUGCCUAAUAAUAAGGCUUAGUUAAACUAAAUAACAGAAAGUGAUUCUCCAAAGAUAAUGAGUUUAAUCAGAAGUAUGUUUUCCGUAAGGUUGCAGUAGCCUUUAUACAAUGUUGUGGUUCUGGCAGUCUGCUAAGAUAUUUCUUGGUGUCAGAUAUGUACGUAAGAUGCCCCUGAUGACCUUCCAGUAGUAUUUGUUCACUACUUUUUGUUGUUGUUGUUAGUGUUUGACACGUUACUUCAUUUUUGUUAUUUCAGUUUUCACAGGUUAUAAAAAUAGGUAUCUUCAUUAAACUAACCUUGAAUUAUCCUAAAAGUAAUGCUGAAAAUUUGUGAUAGAUGGUGAAGUGAAAUGGAGAUAAUCUAAAAGAAAAUUUGGAAAUGAAACAAAGUAAUACAGUCUAAUGAAAUGAAAAAACUAAUUGAAUAAGCAGUUAUUUGUU